Long non-coding RNA from Symphalangus syndactylus (siamang), 275 nucleotides. RefSeq lists it as uncharacterized. The record is from RefSeq and is a predicted model, not a curated record. NCBI's taxonomy places the organism in Eukaryota, Metazoa, Chordata, Mammalia, Primates, Hylobatidae.
AUGUGAGUUCUAACCCCAGUGCUGCCUGUGACUUGCUCUGUGACCUGGGACAAGUCCAUUGUGGAUACAACAGGAUAUGAGGGCUACAAGGAUCUCUGAGGCUUCACCCAGAAUUUUCAGCUCUUUUGACAAUUUCCAAGAAAAGGGAUGAGUUCCAGCCACCAUGUCAUGAGGAGACCCUGGAUACCCCAGCUCAGAGCCUAGAUUUCCAUUUUCUAGACUAUGCUUUGGGUCUUCAACUUCCACGCCAACACCAGAGGAUAAGUAUUUGAGAC